Molecule: ribosomal RNA, 253 nt
Filed under: uncultured bacterium
Lineage: Bacteria
Description: partial 16S ribosomal RNA
Rfam family: Bacterial small subunit ribosomal RNA
Source: RNAcentral
UACGGAGGGUGCAAGCGUUAUCCGGAUUCACUGGGUUUAAAGGGUGCGUAGGUGGGCAGGUAAGUCAGUGGUGAAAUCUCCGGGCUUAACUCGGAAACUGCCAUUGAUACUAUCUGUCUUGAAUACCGUGGAGGUUAGCGGAAUAUGUCAUGUAGCGGUGAAAUGCUUAGAUAUGACAUAGAACACCAAUUGCGAAGGCAGCUGGCUACACGAAUAUUGACACUGAUGCACGAAAGCGUGGGGAUCAAACAGG